AUACGUAGGGUGCAAGCGUUAAUCGGAAUUACUGGGCGUAAAGCGUGCGCAGGCGGUUUUGUAAGACAGUGGUGAAAUCCCCGGGCUCAACCUGGGAACUGCCAUUGUGACUGCAAGGCUGGAGUGCGGCAGAGGGGGAUGGAAUUCCGCGUGUAGCAGUGAAAUGCGUAGAUAUGCGGAGGAACACCGAUGGCGAAGGCAAUCCCCUGGGCCUGCACUGACGCUCAUGCACGAAAGCGUGGGGAGUAAACAGGAUUAGAUACCCUGGUAGUCCACGCCCUAAACGAUGUCAACUGGUUGUUGGGGAUUUAUUUUCUCAGUAACGAAGCUAACGCGUGAAGUUGACCGCCUGGGGAGUACGGCCGCAAGGUUAAAACUCAAAUGAAUUGACGGGG
RNAcentral lists this ribosomal RNA (395 nucleotides) under uncultured bacterium. RNAcentral's name for it is "partial 16S ribosomal RNA". It matches the Rfam family "Bacterial small subunit ribosomal RNA", at positions 523 to 918 of the family's 1533-position model. The record is from RNAcentral.